UUUCCGUAGGUGAACCUGCGGAAGGAUCAUUAAUAAUAAGUGUUUUACUGCGCUUUUUAAAAAUAGUACUCACCUUGUGUGUAAUGUUGUGUUUCUUUUCGGAGAAACGCCUACACCAACCUAUAACCUUGAACCACUUUGUCUGAAAAACUAUUAUGAAUACUUAAUUCAAAAUACAACUUUCAACAACGGAUCUCUUGGCUCUC
Molecule: unclassified non-coding RNA, 206 nt
Filed under: plant metagenome
Description: partial contains small subunit ribosomal RNA, internal transcribed spacer 1, and 5.8S ribosomal RNA
Source: RNAcentral